CCUACGGAGGGCAGCAGUGAGGAAUAUUGGACAAUGGGCGGAAGCCUGAACCAGCCAAGUCGCGUGAGGGAAUAAGGCCCUACGGGUCGUAAACCUCUUUUGCCGGGGAGCAAGGGCCGGGACGAGUCCCGGUCCGGAGAGUACCCGGAGGAAAAGCAGCGGCGAACUCCGUGCCAGCAGCCGCGGUAAUACGGGGGAUGCGAGCGUUAGCCGGCUUGAUUGGGUUUAAAGGGUGCGUAGGCGUGCUUGUAAGUCAGCGGUAAAAAUUCGGGGCUCAACCCCGUCCGGCCGUUGAAACUGGGGGCCGUGAGUGGGCGAGAAGAAGGCGGAAUGCGUGGUGUAGCGGUGAAAUGCAUAGAUAUCACGAAGAACCCCGAUUGCGAAGGCAGCCUUCCGGCGCCCUACUGACGCUGAGGCACGAAAGUGCGGGGAUCGAACAGGAUUAGAUACCCUAGUAGUC
This 460-nucleotide ribosomal RNA is filed under the name uncultured bacterium. Its description in RNAcentral is "partial 16S ribosomal RNA". It matches the Rfam family "Bacterial small subunit ribosomal RNA", at positions 338 to 795 of the family's 1533-position model. The record is from RNAcentral.